AAACAGCAGUGAUACAUAACAAAUCACCCGCCCGGGAACUACAAGCAAAAGCUUAAAACCCAAAGGACUUGGCGGUGCUUUAAUCCCCCUAGAGGAGCCCGUCCUAGAACCGAUUACCCCCGUUAAACCUUACCCCUCCUAGACAUACAGCUUGUAUACCGCCGUCGCCAGCUCACCCUGUGAAGGAAGAAUAGUUAGCAAAUCCGGUAAUUACCCGAAACGUCAGGUCGAGGUGCAGCCCAUGGAGGGGAAUGAGACAGGCUACAUUCAUUUCAUAAAUGCACACGAACGAUGCAUUGAAACAUGCAUACUGAAGGAGGAUUUAGUAGUAAGUACAAAAUAGAGAGUUGU
This 351-nucleotide ribosomal RNA is filed under the name Antennarius striatus (striated frogfish). Its description in RNAcentral is "partial 12S ribosomal RNA". It matches the Rfam family "Bacterial small subunit ribosomal RNA", at positions 843 to 1360 of the family's 1533-position model. The record is from RNAcentral. Lineage: Eukaryota; Metazoa; Chordata; Actinopteri; Lophiiformes; Antennariidae.